Molecule: ribosomal RNA, 510 nt
Filed under: uncultured Acaulospora
Lineage: Eukaryota; Fungi; Glomeromycota; Glomeromycetes; Diversisporales; Acaulosporaceae
Description: SSU rRNA
Rfam family: Eukaryotic small subunit ribosomal RNA
Source: RNAcentral
AGUCUGGUGCCAGCAGCCGCGGUAAUUCCAGCUCCAAUAGCGUAUAUUAAAGUUGUUGCAGUUAAAAAGCUCGUAGUUGAAUUUCGGAACUCAUCCGUCGGUCGGGCUUAACUGUCCGCACUGGUGUGGUGGGUUCCUACCUUCUGAAUAACCGGCAUGCCAUUAAUUUGGUGCGCCGGGGAAGCAGGACUGUUACCUUGAAAAAAUUAGAGUGCUUAAAGCAGGCUAUCGCCUGAAUACAUUAGCAUGGAAUAAUGAAAUAGGACGGCAUGGUUCUAUUUUGUUGGUUUCUAGGAUCACCGUAAUGAUUAAUAGGGAUAGUUGGGGGCAUUAGUAUUCAAUUGUCAGAGGUGAAAUUCUUGGAUUUAUUGAAGACUAACUUCUGCGAAAGCAUUUGCCAAGGAUGUUUUCAUUAAUCAAGAACGAAAGUUAGGGGAUCGAAGACGAUCAGAUACCGUCGUAGUCUUAACCAUAAACUAUGCCGACUAGGGAUCGGACGAUGUAAUUUUA